GCCAGACUCCUACGGGAGGCAGCAGUGAGGAAUAUUGGUCAAUGGGCGCGAGCCUGAACCAGCCAAGUCGCGUGAGGGAAGACGGUCCUAUGGAUUGUAAACCUCUUUUGUCGGGGAGCAAAAGACGCCACGCGUGGCGUUCCGAGAGUACCCGAAGAAAAAGCACCGGCUAACUCCGUGCCAGCAGCCGCGGUAAUACGGAGGGUGCAAGCGUUAAUCGGAAUUACUGGGCGUAAAGCGCACGCAGGCGGUUUGUUAAGUCAGAUGUGAAAUCCCCGGGCUCAACCUGGGAACUGCAUCUGAUACUGGCAAGCUUGAGUCUCGUAGAGGGGGGUAGAAUUCCAGGUGUAGCGGUGAAAUGCGUAGAUAUACGGAGGAACACCAGUGGCGAAGGCGGAUUGCUGGACAGUAACUGACGCUGAGGCGCGAAAGCGUGGGGAGCAAACAGGAUUAGAUACCCCGGUAG
RNAcentral lists this ribosomal RNA (466 nucleotides) under uncultured bacterium. RNAcentral's name for it is "bacterial SSU rRNA". It matches the Rfam family "Bacterial small subunit ribosomal RNA", at positions 330 to 793 of the family's 1533-position model. The record is from RNAcentral.